AGAGGAACACCAAGCCUUCCUAAGGCUAAAAGGAGGUCUCUUUUGAGCUUUGAGGUAUUAAUUCUUAUUAACCAAAAAUCCAUCUUUAUCUGGAUAUGUUCAUUCUUGUUUUUAUUUACUAAUGUUGGUGAUCUUUUUGUGUGUUUAUUAUGGAAAAAAGAGAAGUCGUAUGUGUUUGUUUUAAUCGAAAUCACGUUGUCUACAAUCUAUAAUUUUUUUAUAUUUUAUAUGCUUUUCGUUUCAUUUUAUUUGUUUUUUUAUAUUAAAAAUAUAUUUUUUUAUUUGUUCUCUUUAGUCAAACAGUAGAAGUUUAUUAUUUUCUUCCAAUAUUAUCCUUAUCGUUAAGUAACACUACUAAAAAGAAAAUGUUAUUCCACUAUAAUUCAAAAUUGGGUGAGAUAAGAUUUGAUCAUAUUUAGAAUUGAGUUUGAGAUUAGAUUUAUAUAGUGUUUAAUUAACAAUAUAAAUUUAUCUUAAUUCUGAGAUAUCAGACCUUAUUCCGCUUACCAAACAAUCCAAUAUCAAAUUAAACUUAGAUUUUCAUUUCAGUAAUUGACAAAAGCAUCUAUGUAAUAAUCAAUUCCCUAUUAAAGUAUAAAUAGGAAGUCCAAGUUACUACUACUUCUUUUAUCCCAACUCUUUUUGGCUUUCUAUUCCAAUUAGAAUAUGGUAAAUUCCAUAGCACAUAUGAACAAUGUGGCCUGGGGAGAAAUUUUAGAAACAAAUUUUCACUUCUUAUAUAUAAACCAAAAAGUUUUCUAAUUAUUCGAACAAAUCUACAUUUUAGAUGCAGGUGUUAUUACAACUACUUAUGUGAUGUAUCGCAAUGGAGGCAACCAAAAUCUAUCAAGCCAUUACUAGAAGAAUAUUAUCAAUUUGAUGAUGAUCUAGAUAAUUCAUAAGGCAAGUUGGAAGGAUUCAAACGAAUGCAUCUAUGAGGAGAAAGAUCGAUAAACGAUCUUAAGAUAAAUGUGUUUUUUGGUACGAAAACAAGCUCUCAAAGGUGAAUACCAAAGACUAUUUGCUUGGGAUAUGUUAAAUGAUUUAGCAUGAGUCGUGGCAAGUAUUUUCAGUUGAGGUUUGAACAUUUAACGUAUAAAGUUUAAACUCCAAUUCAAAAUACUUACCACGACUCGAGCUGAACAUCUAACCUAUGCUAAGUAAGUAAUUUUUGAAAUUCAUCUUUCAAAGCUUGUUUUUAUACCCGAAAACACCUUUAUCUUGAGAUCCUUUAUCGAUCUUUCUCCACAUAGAUGCACUCGUUUGUAUCCCUCCAAUAUGUAAGUCUUUUGUAACAAACUCCUAGUCUCAAUAUAUAAUUUUGUUGUUAGGAAAUUAAAUUUCAUAUAUAUAUAUAUAUAUAUAAGGUACAAUCAAUUAAUUCCAGCAAAACAUUAAUUUGAAUUGUCAAAUUCUAGUUUUCUCUUGGGGUUUCAAUCUGAUUGCUGAUCGAAUAUGACAAAUUCCAUGAGAAAAUUAAAUUUUGGAUAGGGAAGCUAAGUCUUAUAUGUCUAUGUAAAGCAAGAAUAAUAUUUCAUUUUUCAAUUAUAUAGAAGAGUCAUAGCAUAAAUGAAAAAUGACAUUUUUUGUAAAUUUUACUUUAUAUAAGGUAAAAUUAUAAUCAUGUAUGAUGUAUGAGAGGUUAAAAUGAAAUUCUAGAAAGAUCUAAUUUUCUUUUUCAAGCUCCCCCAGAAAAGACUUAUUCUACAUGUGACAUAAGACAUUUUAGUGCAACUUCUUGAAGCAGAUCAACAUAGAUUUAGUUAUCCAAAUUGAUUAUAAUAUGGAAGUAUAUAUUGGAGGGUAAAAAACUUGGAUUUUCACUCAAUUUUAGAUAAUUGAUCAUCGCAUUCAAUUAUUUAACUUUGUUAUGUCUUUUAAAAGUUAUUCAACUUUAUUGAAUUGACUUUCCUGGUCAUUAUUUUUUAAAAUAUAAUUUUUGAUAACUGUUUAAUGACGUGACAAUCAUAAAUUUUAAUUAUUUUUUUAAAGAUUUUACAAUGAGGAACUUUCGCAUAUAGCCACUUAAAAAUAUCAUAAUUACUCUCCAUAGCUAUAGUUUGAUAAUUACAAUUCGUAGCUACAUGACUGGUUUAAGAGUCGCCACUUAAUUUUUAAGAAAAAUCAAGAAAACUGUUGUUUUCAAAAGACUAAAACAGAAAUCUAGUGAAAACUUAAAAAGGGUUCGAGGUUCUUAUUAACAUUCUAGGAAGGUUUUAAAAGCACCUAGAAUGUCCACUAAUGUGGUUAUCCGACAAUUAAUUAUUUGGCUAAAAAAUAAUUUUAACUUAACUUAAAUUGCAAAAUUGAAUUAUUCUACAGUUAGAACUAUUUAAAAAGAGGGGAAAGGGAAGUACUUAAAUAUAUCUAAGUGAGCUAUCUUAUAAAAUUAUUUCUUUAAAACUUGUUAAGAGAUGACUGAUUUAGUUAAAUUGUUAAAUCAAAAUGAGCGUUUUUCGGGGAUUUGAAUUUUUCAACUUUAAGAUUAGCAACAAAUAUUAUCAAGCACGCAAACACAAUAAAAUAAAGAGGGAAAGAAACUCGGGCCCAAGUUUGGUUUUCUGUCCGCCUGGACCAAUACUUGGGCCCAUUUCGUUUCGGGCCUUAGACCCAUUUGAGUCACCUGCACCUGUCCUAAACUAACGUAAACAAAUAUCUUUCUUUGGGCCUUAGGCCCAAUUUUUCACCUGUCCUAAACUCUUACAACAUAAUAAACAUAAUGACUAAAUGGGAUUAGGCCCAAUAAAAACAAAAUACAAUCCUUUUUAUAUAAAGAGUGGGCCUUUGGCCCAAUCUUUUCAAUUCUUCUCCGCUUUCGCAUUUUUCCACCUUCGAGACUUGUUCGUCGAUUUUUAUAGGCCGGAUGACUCGAAAAAGGAUUGGGCCUCCGUGGCCCAACAAGAAAAUGCGAGGACAGAGUCCAUGAGGACUCGGGUAGAUUUCACAUGCAUAAAGGAGAUAAAAUUAGCAUACGACUCAACCAAAAUGGACAGAGAAAAGAAUAUGCUACAUUAUGUAGGGAAAGAAAUGAGAUAUAUAGAUAUAUACUAUCAUGUAAUUAAGAGAAAUUAUAUAAGGCCAAACAGAAAGUUAAAAAAUGAAAAUAAAUAUAUAAGAAGGCCAAAGAACAUGAUGUCAUUUAAACUUAAUGAAUUAACAUGGCUGCUAGCAAAUGGCGUUAUGACGAUCAAAAGCAAACCUCACUUAAUUACUAAAUUCCAUAAUAAGCAAUAUCUUUUGUGGAAAUUAAGUAAAUGUGAGCCAACAGGAAAUUAAACCUAUAGGCGUUACUAACAUAUGUAUAAGCUAGAGAGACCGAUGGAAUAAGCUAAAAGUAAAUCAUGAUAGGCAAAUCUCACAUACUACCUCUUUAAAGAAAAUGGCACACUUCAACAUUAACAAAUUUAGUACAUCGAGCACCUAAACAAAGGCAAUUUUUAGGAAUAAACUCAUACUUAAGUCACAAACACACACAUGAACGCUAAUCGAGAAACAGAUAUACAAUACACGAGCUACAUAUUAGCUAGCUCUAAGACUCCAACUUCAUUUUUUUUUUUUGAAAGGGAAAUAGCAUUCACAGUAGUAGAGAAAAGGGAACUUUAUAUGCUAAUAGGCCAGAAUACAAAAAAAUAUAUAAGAAUAUUCAAUGAUAAAUUAGUAAGUGAAUACGAGAUAGUGAUAGUUAAAUAGUCUUAAAAUGAACACUAAGAGACAGUGAAAUCGAACAUGAAACAAACAUCAGCAUCACAGAUAUAUUAGGGAUUUCAUUUGAACGAAAUGAACCCUUUAACAUGAUAGCUAACUCGAAAAAGAAAUUCGAAGACUCAUACAAAUAACAACACUUACAAGAGCACAUUUUAUAUCUCAAACGAACAAGGAGCCGACUCUAACUCAAUCACUAGGCUACGACAUAAGCCAAGAAUCGAGUAAAACAAAGUCAGUCGAGAAAGGAAGGGGAAAGAUAAAUCAGUAAACAACCUCAACAUCAUUAAAACAGUACAUUGACUAAAGAGUUGGAAUUGACAACGGAGUUUACCUUUUUGUGUGCAGCGAAUGGGAACAAGACGAGCGAAGAGCUGACCUUCCUACCACGAGAACUCGAACGCGAAUAGCGGGUAAGGAAUUUGAGCCGACAACUUAACCCAAACACCAAAAAAAAAAACUUAUUGUAUCCUCGACCUCCAAAAUGUAUUUCUAGCUUUUUAAUACUAAUGUUCA
RNAcentral lists this long non-coding RNA (4218 nucleotides) under Solanum tuberosum (potato). Its description in RNAcentral is "long non-coding RNA (STUB_LNC007630)". The record is from RNAcentral. Lineage: Eukaryota; Viridiplantae; Streptophyta; Magnoliopsida; Solanales; Solanaceae.